This 18-nucleotide ribosomal RNA is filed under the name Strombidium sp. HZ-2009b. RNAcentral's name for it is "partial large subunit ribosomal RNA". Lineage: Eukaryota; Ciliophora; Spirotrichea; Strombidiidae. The record is from RNAcentral.
GGCUCAGGUGGGACUACC